AACGAACGCUGGCGGCAUGCCUAACACAUGCAAGUCGAACGCCCUCUUCGGAGGGAGUGGCGCACGGGUGCGUAACGCGUGGGAACCUGCCCUUAGGUUCGGAAUAACUCAGAGAAAUUUGAGCUAAUACCGGAUAAUGUCUUCGGACCAAAGAUUUAUCGCCUUUGGAUGGGCCCGCGUUGGAUUAGCUAGUUGGUGGGGUAAAGGCCUACCAAGGCGACGAUCCAUAGCUGGUCUGAGAGGAUGAUCAGCCACACUGGGACUGAGACACGGCCCAGACUCCUACGGGAGGCAGCAGUGGGGAAUAUUGGACAAUGGGCGAAAGCCUGAUCCAGCAAUGCCGCGUGAGUGAUGAAGGCCUUAGGGUUGUAAAGCUCUUUUACUGGGGAUGAUAAUGACAGUACCCAGAGAAUAAGCUCCGGCUAACUCCGUGCCAGCAGCCGCGGUAAU
This 450-nucleotide ribosomal RNA is filed under the name uncultured bacterium. RNAcentral's name for it is "bacterial SSU rRNA". It matches the Rfam family "Bacterial small subunit ribosomal RNA", at positions 29 to 524 of the family's 1533-position model. The record is from RNAcentral.